Molecule: ribosomal RNA, 545 nt
Filed under: Cortinarius sp. YM626
Lineage: Eukaryota; Fungi; Basidiomycota; Agaricomycetes; Agaricales; Cortinariaceae
Description: eukaryotic LSU rRNA
Rfam family: 5.8S ribosomal RNA (bases 149-302)
Source: RNAcentral
GGGUUGUUGCUGGUUCUCUAGGGAGCAUGUGCACGCCUUGUCAUCUUUAUAUCUCCACCUGUGCACUUUUUGUAGACCCUUCAAGGUCUAUGUCGCUUCAUUUACCCCAAACAAAUAAUAGAAUGUUGUGCCUUUGAAAAAUCUAUACAACUUUCAGCAACGGAUCUCUUGGCUCUCGCAUCGAUGAAGAACGCAGCGAAAUGCGAUAAGUAAUGUGAAUUGCAGAAUUCAGUGAAUCAUCGAAUCUUUGAACGCACCUUGCGCUCCUUGGUAUUCCGAGGAGCAUGCCUGUUUGAGUGUCAUUAAUAUAUCAACCCUCUUCUCUUGUUGAGUGGUUUGGAUGUGGGGGUUUGCUUUGCUGGCCCUCUUCUUGAGAGGUUCAGCUCCCCUGAAAUGCAUUAGCAGAACGACCUGUUCAUUGGUGUGAUAAACUAUCUACGCUAUUGAACGUGAGGCAGUUCAGCUUCCUAACAGUCCUCUGGACAAGUUUAUCAUUUUAUGUGACCUCAAAUCAGGUAGGACUACCCGCUGAACUUAAGCAUAUC